GACGAAUGCUGGCGGCGUGCCUAAUACAUGCAAGUUGAGCGAUGAAGAUUGGUGCUUGCACCAAUUUGAAGAGCAGCGAACGGGUGAGUAACGCGUGGGGAAUCUGCCUUUGAGCGGGGGACAACAUUUGGAAACGAAUGCUAAUACCGCAUAACAACUUUAAACAUGAGUUUUAAGUUUGAAAGAUGCAAUUGCAUCACUCAAAGAUGAUCCCGGGUUGUAUUAGCUAGUUGGUGAGGUAAAGGCUCACCAAGGCGAUGAUACAUAGCCGACCUGAGAGGGUGAUCGGCCACAUUGGGACUGAGACACGGCCCAAACUCCUACGGGAGGCAGCAGUAGGGAAUCUUCGGCAAUGGACGAAAGUCUGACCGAGCAACGCCGCGUGAGUGAAGAAGGUUUUCGGAUCGUAAAACUCUGUUGGUAGAGAAGAACGUUGGUGAGAGUGGAAAGCUCAUCAAGUGACGGUAACUACCCAGAAAGGGACGGCUAACUACGUGCCAGCAGCCGCGGUAA
Molecule: ribosomal RNA, 513 nt
Filed under: uncultured bacterium
Lineage: Bacteria
Description: partial 16S ribosomal RNA
Rfam family: Bacterial small subunit ribosomal RNA
Source: RNAcentral